ACUUUUAUUGUGUAAUCGGUAAGACAUUAGGUUUUCAACUUAAAAAUAGGAGUUCAAUUCUCCUUAAAAGUG
This 72-nucleotide transfer RNA is filed under the name Ptilocaulis walpersi. Its description in RNAcentral is "tRNA-Glu". It matches the Rfam family "tRNA". From Rfam's summary of the family: Transfer RNA (tRNA) molecules are approximately 80 nucleotides in length. Their secondary structure includes four short double-helical elements and three loops (D, anti-codon, and T loops). Lineage: Eukaryota; Metazoa; Porifera; Demospongiae; Axinellida; Axinellidae. The record is from RNAcentral.